GGUUUCACCUCGACCCUUCCUCCCUUCAAUUUUCAAACGUUACGAUCAAAGCUCACAUUACCAGCACCAUACGUUACAAAAAAGGAUCCCAUUAACAACUCCAUUAAGUCUGUUAAUCAAUCCCUGAAGAUGUUCAAAAGAUUUUGGUUGGUCGAGGACAUAUUGAGAAAUGAACCGACAUCCAUCUCAGGUUUAUGCUGGACUUACAAAGUGAGUUUGACAUAGUUAUGUAAAGGCUGAUCUGAGUAUAGUGAUACUGCACCGUAAGCCUGAAUUUAUGGCGCUCUUGAAGAAAUUAGAUCAUCUAAAAUGUGUCGUACGAGGAAGUAAGUUCACCAAAUGGCAAGAUCUUUGGGAGGCUCAUCAGUAGCCAUUGCACAAGUGGCCAAUAUGACAAACCUAUCUUUUGAGUGGGGUUGCACAAGAAGGCAACUCAGUUAUGCACUUUGAGUAGGAUUUGAACCUAGCAGUACCUCGACAAACAUAUCAUAUCAGUUUGAGGGAGAUGUUUGAGAUAUUGAAAUUGUUAUACACUUUGUAAAUCUUUUGCCUGUGUAUGUCUAAUCUUCAUUAGUCUUCUUAUUUUGUUGCCAAAACCACCAUUAGUGCGCAGUUAAGGAUUGAA
This is a long non-coding RNA of Papaver somniferum (opium poppy), 625 nucleotides long. RefSeq lists it as uncharacterized. The record is from RefSeq and is a predicted model, not a curated record. Lineage: Eukaryota; Viridiplantae; Streptophyta; Magnoliopsida; Ranunculales; Papaveraceae. The transcript is spliced from 3 exons.